Molecule: ribosomal RNA, 253 nt
Filed under: uncultured bacterium
Lineage: Bacteria
Description: partial 16S ribosomal RNA
Rfam family: Bacterial small subunit ribosomal RNA
Source: RNAcentral
UACGUAGGGGGCAAGCGUUGUCCGGAAUUAUUGGGCGUAAAGAGCGCGUAGGCGGUCCGGUAAGUCAGCUGUGAAAGUCAAGGGCUCAACCCUCGAAUGCCGGUGGAUACUGUCGGGCUUGAGUACGGGAGAGGCGAGUGGAAUUCCUGGUGUAGCGGUGAAGUGCGCAGAUAUCAGGAGGAACACCGAUUGCGAAGGCAGCUCGCUGGAACGUUACUGACGCUGAGACGCGAAAGCGUGGGGAGCAAACAGG